Molecule: ribosomal RNA, 513 nt
Filed under: uncultured bacterium
Lineage: Bacteria
Description: bacterial SSU rRNA
Rfam family: Bacterial small subunit ribosomal RNA
Source: RNAcentral
AGAGUUUGAUCCUGGCUCAGAUUGAACGCUGGCGGCAUGCCUAACACAUGCAAGUCGAACGGGGCACUUCGGUGCCUAGUGGCGGACGGGUGAGUAAGGCGUAGGAAUCUGCCUUGCGGUGGGGGACAACCUGGGGAAACUCAGGCUAAUACCGCAUACGCUCGCGAGAGGAAAGCGGGGGAUCUUCGGACCUCGCGCCGGAAGAAGAGCCUACGUCCGAUUAGCUAGUUGGUAGGGUAAAAGCCUACCAAGGCGACGAUCGGUAGCUGGUCUGAGAGGAUGAUCAGCCACACUGGGACUGAGACACGGCCCAGACUCCUACGGGAGGCAGCAGUGGGGAAUAUUGGACAAUGGGCGCAAGCCUGAUCCAGCAAUGCCGCGUGGGUGAAGAAGGCCUGCGGGUUGUAAAGCCCUUUAAGUGGGGAGGAAUGGUCGGGUGCAAACAGUGCCUGACUUUGACGUUACCCACAGAAUAAGCACCGGCUAACUCCGUGCCAGCAGCCGCGGUAAUAC